GAUGAACGCUGGCGGCGUGCCUAAUACAUGCAAGUCGAGCGAACAGACGAGGAGCUUGCUCCUUCGACGUUAGCGGCGGACGGGUGAGUAACACGUAGGUAACCUACCUAUAAGACUGGGAUAACUUCGGGAAACCGGAGCUAAUACCGGAUAAUAUUUCGAACCGCAUGGUUCGAUAGUGAAAGAUGGCUUUGCUAUCACUUAUAGAUGGACCUGCGCCGUAUUAGCUAGUUGGUAAGGUAACGGCUUACCAAGGCAACGAUACGUAGCCGACCUGAGAGGGUGAUAGGCCCCACUGGAACUGAGACACGGUCCAGACUCCUACGGGAGGCAGCAGUAGGGAAUCUUCCGCAAUGGGCGAAAGCCUGACGGAGCAACGCCGCGUGAGAGAUGAAGGUCUUCGGAUCGUAAAACUCUGUUAUUAGGGAAGAACAAACGUGUAAGUAACUAAGCACGUCUUGACGGUACCUAAUCAGAAAGCCACGGCUAACUACGUG
This 497-nucleotide ribosomal RNA is filed under the name uncultured bacterium. Its description in RNAcentral is "partial 16S ribosomal RNA". It matches the Rfam family "Bacterial small subunit ribosomal RNA", at positions 28 to 507 of the family's 1533-position model. The record is from RNAcentral.